Anaeramoeba ignava is the source of this 73-nucleotide non-coding RNA. NCBI's taxonomy places the organism in Eukaryota, Anaeramoebidae. The record is from the annotation of a GenBank genome assembly.
GGUGUUGUGGUGUAGGGGUUAUCACGUCAGUUUAACACACUGAAGGUCCCAAGUUCGAUUCUUGGCAACAUCA